CAGCCGCCACGGUAACACGAACCGUGCGAACGUUAUUCGGAAUUACUGGGCUUAAAGCGCGUGUAGGCGGGCCGCCACGUCGAUUGCUGAAAUCCCCCGGCUCAACCGGGGAAGUGGCAUCGAUACGAGCGGCCUUGAGGGGGGUAGGGGGAUCUGGAACUUCCGGUGGAGCGGUGAAAUGCGUUGAGAUCGGAAGGAACGCCCGUGGCGAAAGCGAGGUCCUGGACCCUUUCUGACGCUGAGACGCGAAAGCCAGGGGAGCGAACGGGAUUAGAUACCCCCGUAGUCCCUGUCUCUUAUA
RNAcentral lists this ribosomal RNA (301 nucleotides) under uncultured bacterium. Its description in RNAcentral is "partial 16S ribosomal RNA". It matches the Rfam family "Bacterial small subunit ribosomal RNA", at positions 509 to 807 of the family's 1533-position model. The record is from RNAcentral.